RNAcentral lists this ribosomal RNA (497 nucleotides) under uncultured bacterium. Its description in RNAcentral is "partial 16S ribosomal RNA". It matches the Rfam family "Bacterial small subunit ribosomal RNA", at positions 28 to 507 of the family's 1533-position model. The record is from RNAcentral.
GAUGAACGCUGGCGGCGUGCCUAAUACAUGCAAGUCGAGCGAACAGACGAGGAGCUUGCUCCUCUGAUGUUAGCGGCGGACGGGUGAGUAACACGUGGAUAACCUACCUAUAAGACUGGGAUAACUUCGGGAAACCGGAGCUAAUACCGGAUAACAUGUUGAACCGCAUGGUUCAACAGUGAAAGACGGUCUUGCUGUCACUUAUAGAUGGAUCCGCGCCGCAUUAGCUAGUUGGUAAGGUAACGGCUUACCAAGGCAACGAUGCGUAGCCGACCUGAGAGGGUGAUCGGCCACACUGGAACUGAGACACGGUCCAGACUACUACGGGAGGCAGCAGUAGGGAAUCUUCCGCAAUGGGCGAAAGCCUGACGGAGCAACGCCGCGUGAGUGAAGAAGGUCUUCGGAUCGUAAAACUCUGUUAUUAGGGAAGAACAAAUGUGUAAGUAGCUAUGCACGUCUUGACGGUACCUAAUCAGAAAGCCACGGCUAACUACGUG